GGAGCUGAGACCAGUCGAAGAUACCAGCUGGCUGCAACUGUUUAUUAAAAACACAGCACUGUGCAAACACGAAAGUGGACGUAUACGGUGUGACGCCUGCCCGGUGCCGGAAGGUUAAUUGAUGGGGUUAUCCGUAAGGAGAAGCUCUUGAUCGAAGCCCCGGUAAACGGCGGCCGUAACUAUAACGGUCCUAAGGUAGCGAAAUUCCUUGUCGGGUAAGUUCCGACCUGCACGAAUGGCGUAAUGAUGGCCAGGCUGUCUCCACCCGAGACUCAGUGAAAUUGAACUCGCUGUGAAGAUGCAGUGUACCCGCGGCAAGACGGAAAGACCCCGUGAACCUUUACUAUAGCUUGACACUGAACAUUGAGCCUUGAUGUGUAGGAUAGGUGGGAGGCUUUGAAGCGUGGACGCCAGUCUGCGUGGAGCCAACCUUGAAAUACCACCCUUUAAUGUUUGAUGUUCUAACGUAGGCCCCUAAUCGGGGUUGCGGACAGUGUCUGGUGGGUAGUUUGACUGGGGCGGUCUCCUCCCAAAGAGUAACGGAGGAGCACGAAGGUUAGCUAAUCCUGGUCGGACAUCAGGAGGUUAGUGCAAUGGCAUAAGCUAGCUUGACUGCGAGCGUGACGGCGCGAGCAGGUGCGAAAGCAGGUCAUAGUGAUCCGGUGGUUCUGAAUGGAAGGGCCAUCGCUCAACGGAUAAAAGGUACUCCGGGGAUAACAGGCUGAUACCGCCCAAGAGUUCAUAUCGACGGCGGUGUUUGGCACCUCGAUGUCGGCUCAUCACAUCCUGGGGCUGAAGUAGGUCCCAAGGGUAUGGCUGUUCGCCAUUUAAAGUGGUACGCGAGCUGGGUUUAGAACGUCGUGAGACAGUUCGGUCCCUAUCUGCCGUGGGCGCUGGAGAAUUGAGGGGGGCUGCUCCUAGUACGAGAGGACCGGAGUGGACGCAUCACUGGUGUUCGGGUUGUCAUGCCAAUGGCACUGCCCGGUAGCUAAAUGCGGAAGAGAUAAGUGCUGAAAGCAUCUAAGCACGAAACUUGCCCCGAGAUGAGUUCUCCCUGAGACUUUAAGUCUCCUGAAGGAACGUUGAAGACGACGACGUUGAUAGGCCGGGUGUGUAAGCGCAGCGAUGCGUUGAGCUAACCGGUACUAAUGAACCGUGAGGCUUAACCUU
This 1170-nucleotide ribosomal RNA is filed under the name Klebsiella variicola. RNAcentral describes it as "bacterial LSU rRNA". It matches the Rfam family "Bacterial large subunit ribosomal RNA", at positions 1763 to 2925 of the family's 2925-position model. RNAcentral also lists the same sequence under 1 other name. The record is from RNAcentral. Lineage: Bacteria; Pseudomonadati; Pseudomonadota; Gammaproteobacteria; Enterobacterales; Enterobacteriaceae.